UGUGAUGCCCUUAGAUGUUCUGGGCUGCACGCGCGCUACAAUGGCACAUGCCCCAAUGUACCUAUGUCUGACAAGAACAUAGGAUCAAGCAACGAUGCCGUGCCGGGAAUAGAUGAUUGUAAUUUUUUAUCUUGAACGAGGAAUUCCUAGUAAGAACAGAUCAACAAUCUGUGCUGAUUACGUCCCUGCCCUUUGUACACACCGCCCGUCGCUCCUACCGAUUGAGUAAUCCGGUGAAUGGUGACGAUUGUUCGAACGCUCCUGAGCCUCGUGCAACAAGCAUCGUUAACCUCACUACUUAGAGGAAGGAGAAGU
This 315-nucleotide ribosomal RNA is filed under the name uncultured eukaryote. Its description in RNAcentral is "bacterial SSU rRNA". It matches the Rfam family "Eukaryotic small subunit ribosomal RNA", at positions 1463 to 1789 of the family's 1831-position model. The record is from RNAcentral.